Molecule: ribosomal RNA, 777 nt
Filed under: uncultured Neocallimastigales
Lineage: Eukaryota; Fungi; Neocallimastigomycota; Neocallimastigomycetes; Neocallimastigales
Description: partial large subunit ribosomal RNA
Rfam family: Eukaryotic large subunit ribosomal RNA
Source: RNAcentral
UAUCUCUGUAGAGUCUGCAUAUCAAUAAGCGGAGGAAAAGAAACUAACUAGGAUUCCCUUAGUAACGGCGAGUGAAGCGGGAAGAGCUCAAAUUUGAAAUCUUCAAGGUUCUACCUUGACGAAUUGUAGUUUAAAGAAGUGUUUUCUGUUGGAUGUUUUGGUAAAAGUUCUUUGGAAUAGGACAUCAUAGAGGGUGAGAAUCCCGUAUUUGACCAUUACUUUCCAGCUUUGUGAUACACUUUCAAAGAGUCGGAUUGUUUGGGAAUGCAGUCCAAAAUGGGUGGUAAAUUUCAUCUAAAGCUAAAUAUUGGCGAGAGACCGAUAGCGAACAAGUACCGUGAGGGAAGAUGAAAAGAACUUUGAAAAGAGAGUUAAACAGUACGUGAAAUUGUCAAAAGGGAAGCGUUUGACACCAGUGUUGUUUUCUCGAAAAUCAAUUAAAAAAGUCUGGAUUUUGUAUUGUUUAAGACUUUAUCAGCUUACUGCUACUCUUUUCUUGUCUUUUUUAAUGCACUUUUCGUUUAACAAGUCAACAUCAAUUUCUUUUGUUGUAAAAGAGUCAUUGGAAGGUGGCUUUCUUUUCGGAGAAAGUGUUUAUAGCCUUUGGCCUCUGCAAUCGGAGAGAUUGAGGUCUGCAGCGUAGAUCCUUCGGGGUUAGAUACAUUUGUGCUAAGUUAUAGCCUUUCAUAGACAACUUGUUGACUAUGAUCAGUCAUGUAGCUUACUCGCUUAUGCUAUUUUACCUACGCUUAGGAUGUUGACGAUCAGCUGAGCGCG